Molecule: ribosomal RNA, 797 nt
Filed under: Bacillus sp. (in: firmicutes)
Lineage: Bacteria; Bacillati; Bacillota; Bacilli; Caryophanales; Bacillaceae
Description: bacterial SSU rRNA
Rfam family: Bacterial small subunit ribosomal RNA
Source: RNAcentral
CAGGGGGGCGUGCUAUACAUGCAAGUCGAGCGGACAGAAGGGAGCUUGCUCCCGGAUGUUAGCGGCGGACGGGUGAGUAACACGUGGGUAACCUGCCUGUAAGACUGGGAUAACUCCGGGAAACCGGAGCUAAUACCGGAUAGUUCCUUGAACCGCAUGGUUCAAGGAUGAAAGACGGUUUCGGCUGUCACUUACAGAUGGACCCGCGGCGCAUUAGCUAGUUGGUGAGGUAACGGCUCACCAAGGCGACGAUGCGUAGCCGACCUGAGAGGGUGAUCGGCCACACUGGGACUGAGACACGGCCCAGACUCCUACGGGAGGCAGCAGUAGGGAAUCUUCCGCAAUGGACGAAAGUCUGACGGAGCAACGCCGCGUGAGUGAUGAAGGUUUUCGGAUCGUAAAGCUCUGUUGUUAGGGAAGAACAAGUGCAAGAGUAACUGCUUGCACCUUGACGGUACCUAACCAGAAAGCCACGGCUAACUACGUGCCAGCAGCCGCGGUAAUACGUAGGUGGCAAGCGUUGUCCGGAAUUAUUGGGCGUAAAGGGCUCGCAGGCGGUUUCUUAAGUCUGAUGUGAAAGCCCCCGGCUCAACCGGGGAGGGUCAUUGGAAACUGGGAAACUUGAGUGCAGAAGAGGAGAGUGGAAUUCCACGUGUAGCGGUGAAAUGCGUAGAGAUGUGGAGGAACACCAGUGGCGAAGGCGACUCUCUGGUCUGUAACUGACGCUGAGGAGCGAAAGCGUGGGGAGCGAACAGGAUUAGAUACCCUGGUAGUCCACGCCGUAAACGAUGAGUGCU